Molecule: long non-coding RNA, 1103 nt
Filed under: Vombatus ursinus (common wombat)
Lineage: Eukaryota; Metazoa; Chordata; Mammalia; Diprotodontia; Vombatidae
Description: lncRNA (ENSVURG00010012925.1)
Source: RNAcentral
CGCACGUAUCCGGGCCCCGCCCCCUGGCCGGCCUACUUACAGCAUUGGCCGGCCCGCUUGUCAUUCCCACCGUGGCUACCAUUCAUGCAGUUUGGUUGCGUCUUGGUGUAUUUGAGUGUUUGCAAUAAAAAGGGCUUUUAAUUUUUGGAGGUGCAGGUCCAGCUGCAAUUAGUUCACUGAAAAGUCUACCGCCUUGCAAGCAGCCAACCGCGGCUAGCUUUAGCUCUUUAUUUCUCCCUUGCAAUUGCAAGCCACUAAUUCAGAGGUGCAACUAUGCCCAAAAGAAAGGCAGCCGUUGAAGGGCAGGUAAAGGAGGAGCCAAAGAGGCGGUCACCUCGAUUAUCUGCUAAGCCUGUUCCUCCUAAAUCUGAGCCCAAAACCAAAAAGGCAGCAGCCCCAAAGAAAGUGAACGUAGCAAAUGAUAAAAAGGAAAUGAAAGGCAAGAAGGGGGCCGCCAAAGUCAAAGUGGAAACCAAGCAGGAAGAAGUGAAAGAAGAAAACCACUCUGAAAAUGGAGAGACCCAAACUAACGAGGUGCCGGCUGUGGAAGAACCUGAGGAGAAGCCUGAGUAAUAUGUAACACUGCCCUAUAUCUCCAUCAGUUUGCAUGAAGUUAAUUUUGGAACGUCUCCAUCCUGGUCGCUUGGGUAUGAUGUCACCAACAAGAUAUCACUGUCUCUGCAUUUUGUGAUUAUAAUAGUGUGAUCUAUGGCAAGAAUAAGUGGUGGUAGCUUCUGACUUUUGUCACUGUGUACCCUUUCUUGUGUAAGCUAUCCUUUCCGUCCUUUGGCUUUUUCUUUGGCCCUGGUACGUGUUUAAUUCAGUGAAGUGGGGAGGCCCCAAAUAGAAAGUUCUCAAAUCGGCUAGUCCGGGGUGUCUGUGGGUUGAUUUUAUAAAGAAGGUGAGCUAUUUUCAUGAAAUUCUAAGAGUUGGAAAUAUCUUUCCCAAAUAUAACUUUAAUAUUAGUUUUUGAAAGAAAGUAAAAUGUAAUCAUGUUUUUAAACAAAAUACAAAUGUUUAUUUCAGAAGGGCAGAUUGAUUGUAUGUGUAGCCACUAUUAGAAAUUUUGCUGGAUUUAUCUUAAUAAAAUAAAAAGACUCCUC